GUACCCUACGGGACGCAGCAGUGGGGAAUAUUGGGCAAUGGGCGCAAGCCUGACCCAGCGACGCCGCGUGAAGGAAGAAGGCUUUCGGGUUGUAAACUUCUUUUCUCAGGGACGAAGCAAGUGACGGUACCUGAGGAAUAAGCUACGGCUAACUACGUGCCAGCAGCCGCGGUAAUACGUAGGUGGCAAGCGUUAUCCGGAUUUACUGGGUGUAAAGGGCGUGUAGGCGGGAAAGCAAGUCAGAUGUGAAAACCACGGGCUCGACCUGGGGCCUGCAUUUGAAA
Molecule: ribosomal RNA, 284 nt
Filed under: uncultured bacterium
Lineage: Bacteria
Description: partial 16S ribosomal RNA
Rfam family: Bacterial small subunit ribosomal RNA
Source: RNAcentral